GGUUGGUCCCGGCGGGGGAAGGAGAAAGUGAGACUCGGUGUCAUCACCAAUCCGUCGCCAGAAGGGGAGGAAACUGGAAUCCAGCAGCGGCGAGCAGCAGCUGGGCGGUCACAUCUGGAAAUGGAAAGCCGACCUCCCCCUCCUCCUCCACCUCUUCCUCCUCCUCCUCCUCCUCCUCUCACCCAGGAUCACUUCCGAAACCACUUGGCCUUCAGCCCCUGCCUCGGCCAGAGGUUUCAUUUUUAACUGAAUAUUUACGAAAGCUGAAAGCGUGCGAGGGGGGUGGGGUGGAAAUAGCGGCUGCUUCUUUUCCAAGGAUUUAUUUAAUGGGGAUGUGUUCAAGGCAAGACCGAAUUCAGAAGGAUAUCGACGUCGUGAUCCAGAAGUCCAGAGCUGAGGACUGCCUGUUUGCAGGACAACUGUGCAGACUACAAAGCUUCGGAAAACCGGAGAGGCUGAGUCGACUAAUCGUGUUGUUGCACGUUAGAAACGCUUGCAUUGCCUGACUCUGAAACCAGAAGGGCGGCCGAAUGGCCUUCACCCUCCAUUAACCCUCGCCUCCUUCAGAAGCCAGUGCCUCUGGAAAUGCCUGGAUCUGCGACCCCAGCCUGAGCCUAGUAGGGCCCAAGGGAAGCUGAACGCCCCGACGGCUCUCAUGGGCACCGGCAACAGUUUUCCGUUUGUGCCUACUCCACCUGCUGUCUUUGUUGGGUCAGCGAACAUCGCCUCCCUCUACCGCUCAAUCAGCAAAAGGGACCGCCCUUGAGGACCUCACCCGCGGCUCACUCCCCUCCCAACUUCGCGGGCAUCGCCUCCGGUCGCCUCUUCCGAAGGCCUAACGAGCAUGUUAGCUGCGAACGGAGGUGAGGAGGCUCCGCUGACUGACCGGUGCCCAUGUCCAGGGCACGCACAAACGCCAUGACUUGGCUUGGCCUCUCUCUUAGUUAUUCACAAGCUCAGCCCGAUAGGCACCUCUGGGGCGGCGACGGCAAAGAGGGUGCGCUUAUUAAGUGCAGCUCCACGGGGACUGGCCUCUGCACGGCUGUGUACACCUGAGCGAGACGCUCAGUCGCUCUCUAAAGCCGCUUCUGCGGAUGACAGACACGGAGAUAAACGUGAGAGGUGGCCCACCACGACUUGCCCUCCUUUGCCCGGGUUUGCCCCUCGCUGCGGAGGCUGUUCUACAUCUGGCCCUUGGAGCAGGCCGGCUGACAGCGUGGUAAAGGAAGAUUUCUGCGGGAGGGCGGCCAGUGCAAAACAAUUCCCUGACCGGGAAUCGAACCCGGGCCGUGGCGCUUUCAGCACCGAAUCCUAGCCACUAGACAACCAUGCAGAUGCGGAAAGCUGCUUUCUCUCCCUUCUUCGACCUGAAGCGACACUUUCCUGUGCUCUAGGAGGACUUGGGUCUUGUGAGAGUCUCCCUUUGCUCCUGGAGUCGUCUCACAAGGCCGUUCACUCCCUGCUUUCUUCAAAAAAAGAACCUGCAGGCGACACACCAAGGGCUCCACGAGGGAGUCCUGAGUACUGGAGCGAGUUGCGGCCACGCGGCCGCAGCUCACCACUGGCCUAGAGAUGCCCUUUGCCAGGCGGCAGCAACUGACAAGAUGGUCGCGGGUCGCCGGGUCCGGAGCCGCCCACCAGGUUGCCAGGAGGAGGCGGGAGCGGGGAGGCGCCCGAGGUGAGACGGGGGCACCCUCUGCAUCAUAAAGGACCCAGACCCCGGCACCCUCAACAUCAUAAGGAAUCAGACGGAUGCGGAAACCGAGGCGGGCUGGAUAGGAAACUCUUUCCAGGAAGGCUCCGGGGCACUCAACUGGUCUCCAACCUUCCCCUGCAACCUGUGACGCCUGCCAUUUUCCCAUUUUAGGCGAUGGCAACGCAACCCCUCCGUUUGCUCUGGGCAAAACUUCGAGAGUUCCCUCUGAAGCUGGAGCUUUUUCCUCAGAUCCAAGAUCCAAUUGGUCACCAAUUCGUGAUUUCCGUCGGCCAAGUGCGUGGGCAUUGAUCUACACGCGAGUUUCUCCACCUCUGCCGAAUGGCUACUUCGGGGUGGGGGAGGGGCCCUCCCGCCGUGGAUUGCAAGGUGUUUAGCAGCAUCUGUCUCCUCCGCUGACUAGACACAUGCCAGGGGGAUAACAUUCUCCCUCCCGCUUCCCCCAGCCGCGGCCUAGUGUCCCAGCGGGGUUGGGAGAGGCAUGUGAGGGCGAAGUUGCCCCCUGUUGAGAACCAUUGCUGCGCGUAGUCCUUCUCUCUGAACUUGUGCAGAGGACUCUCCAGGUGAAGGCUCAAGGGUGGAUCCAGCUCGAGACACCCUCGCUCCCCCUCACAGUCGGACCUUAGGAUUUAGGCUUUAACAUCUCCACAUCAUGAGAUUCGAAACCUUUAGGUCUUGUCUUCCGUUCUGUCCUCCAAAUCGGCCUCUUCCGAGCCUGUUGACCAGGGCCAGCCGGGCAGAGGGCUGGGCUCGCUCAACGAGGCUCCUCUCGCACCUCCUGGAGCUUCAGGCUUCUUUCCGUUGCAGAGAAGCUUUAUGGGCCAAUUCGUUCGGCAUCCCCGGGGGCAGGUGCGCGGUGCGCGGGGAAGAAGAGGAUUUGACUGCGGUUCUCCACCCCCGGCGCCCAACCUCCACCCCGGUGCGCGCGCUCUUCCAGGCUCCUGCUGGUCCCACUUGCCAGGAGUUAGGUCUCAGGUCAGCCUGAGCUCCUGAGACGCCCAGGCCCGGAAAGACACGUAGGGGAAACCAUCUGCUCACUUCUGUCCUGUCCGGAAGGGAUCCCUUUCUGACGGGAAAGAAAGGCGCUAAACAAGCACUGGCCUUGAGAUAAGCAAUGCUGAAGCACUUGCAGCUCACCUAUUACCAUAAACUGACUGAGCCCUCCCUACACAAGCCGUAACUACUGCUUUGAUUGGACAAGAGACUGAUUUCAGUAGUUUUCUCUUGAUAAGAGACCACUGGCCGUGGGCGGGUUCUGGACAGUUUACAGAAGCUAUGCACUUGAUUGCCUUUGUGUCCCUGCUUCACCUUUUGAAGCAUAGGGCCUAAUUAUAAUGUAUUUAAAUGUUGUCUCCACCCCAAAGUGAACAUGGGUUGCAUGUAACAGGCAUGUUUACUCAGCAUGCAUGCAGCAGGAUCCCUUCACAAAUAUUCAGAGCUCCCCCUAUUCCCUGUUGAAUAUGUAUAUGUGGCCAGCCAGAUCAACGUAAAUCACUAUUCGCCCUCCCCUCCCUGGAAACCUACUUUUCGGGUUUCAGCAGGAAGCUAUGCCUCCCAGUCUGUCAGAAUGGCCACUUGCAGGCUGUAACCCUUUAUAAAAAAAUAAAAUCUCCUUUCUAAAUUUA
This 3339-nucleotide long non-coding RNA is filed under the name Homo sapiens (human). Its description in RNAcentral is "long independently transcribed non-coding RNA 1145, transcript variant 5 (LINC01145)". Lineage: Eukaryota; Metazoa; Chordata; Mammalia; Primates; Hominidae. The record is from RNAcentral.